RNAcentral lists this ribosomal RNA (594 nucleotides) under Vibrio alginolyticus. RNAcentral describes it as "bacterial SSU rRNA". It matches the Rfam family "Bacterial small subunit ribosomal RNA", at positions 847 to 1440 of the family's 1533-position model. The record is from RNAcentral. Lineage: Bacteria; Pseudomonadati; Pseudomonadota; Gammaproteobacteria; Vibrionales; Vibrionaceae.
CGGAGCUAACGCGUUAAGUAGACCGCCUGGGGAGUACGGUCGCAAGAUUAAAACUCAAAUGAAUUGACGGGGGCCCGCACAAGCGGUGGAGCAUGUGGUUUAAUUCGAUGCAACGCGAAGAACCUUACCUACUCUUGACAUCCAGAGAAGCCAGCGGAGACGCAGGUGUGCCUUCGGGAACUCUGAGACAGGUGCUGCAUGGCUGUCGUCAGCUCGUGUUGUGAAAUGUUGGGUUAAGUCCCGCAACGAGCGCAACCCUUAUCCUUGUUUGCCAGCGAGUAAUGUCGGGAACUCCAGGGAGACUGCCGGUGAUAAACCGGAGGAAGGUGGGGACGACGUCAAGUCAUCAUGGCCCUUACGAGUAGGGCUACACACGUGCUACAAUGGCGCAUACAGAGGGCAGCAAGCUAGCGAUAGUGAGCGAAUCCCAAAAAGUGCGUCGUAGUCCGGAUUGGAGUCUGCAACUCGACUCCAUGAAGUCGGAAUCGCUAGUAAUCGUGAAUCAGAAUGUCACGGUGAAUACGUUCCCGGGCCUUGUACACACCGCCCGUCACACCAUGGGAGUGGGCUGCAAAAGAAGUGGGUAGUUUAACC